AAUAUAUAUUUUGAGACAAACAUGUCACAAUGGUGCAAUUUCUUUCUUUAUUAUAUCACUCAAAAAAGACUGCAGACGGUUAAUGCGACCAAUACGUGUCACUACAAUAAAGUUGUGAGUAUGCACAAAUGUGUAAUGUUAUAUUUUUGUUCGUGUGCUUUAAGCGUAAUUUAAGUAAUAUUUUUAUUCUACUCGUCAUGCUUUCCGUCGUUUACUGCUCUAUCAUAAACAUGCCUAACAUUAACAAGCCGAUGUACUUUGACCCGCCGCCCGGCAGCAGAAUCGAGUACCUGAUGACCGAAGACGAUAUGCAUUCAGAUCCAAAUAAUUCGGACGAGUAUAUUUUAUCAUAAAAACGUAACACCGUACAGCUCGGGUGUACAAUACGCAAUUAAUGAAACACGUUGUUAUUAUUUUGGUCGCUGCUGAUGUUUUUAUUAUAGUGUUGCAAUUUCUUCCCUCU
Molecule: long non-coding RNA, 463 nt
Organism: Sipha flava (yellow sugarcane aphid)
Lineage: Eukaryota; Metazoa; Arthropoda; Insecta; Hemiptera; Aphididae
Exons: 3
Source: RefSeq, a predicted model, not a curated record